ACAACUUUCGACAACGGAUCUCUUGGUUCUCCCAUCGAUGAAGAACGCAGCGAAACGCGAUAGGUAAUGUGAAUUGCAGAAUUCCGUGAAUCAUCGAAUCUUUGAACGCACCUUGCGCUCCAUGGUAUUCCGUGGGGCAUGCCUGUUUGAGUGCCGCG
Molecule: ribosomal RNA, 158 nt
Filed under: Malassezia pachydermatis
Lineage: Eukaryota; Fungi; Basidiomycota; Malasseziomycetes; Malasseziales; Malasseziaceae
Description: 5.8S ribosomal RNA
Rfam family: 5.8S ribosomal RNA
About the family: 5.8S ribosomal RNA (5.8S rRNA) is a component of the large subunit of the eukaryotic ribosome. It is transcribed by RNA polymerase I as part of the 45S precursor that also contains 18S and 28S rRNA.
Source: RNAcentral